This 443-nucleotide ribosomal RNA is filed under the name uncultured bacterium. Its description in RNAcentral is "partial 16S ribosomal RNA". It matches the Rfam family "Bacterial small subunit ribosomal RNA", at positions 354 to 796 of the family's 1533-position model. The record is from RNAcentral.
GUGAGGAAUAUUGCGCAAUGGAGGCAACUCUGACGCAGCCAUGCCGCGUGCAGGAAGAAGGCGCUACGCGUUGUAAACUGCUUUUAACCGGGAAGAAACCCCAGGACGUGUCCUGGGUUGACGGUACCGGAGGAAUAAGCACCGGCUAACUUCGUGCCAGCAGCCGCGGUAAUACGAAGGGUGCAAGCGUUAUCCGGAUUCAUUGGGUUUAAAGGGUGCGUAGGCGGAGCGUUAAGUCAGUGGUGAAAUCCUGCAGCUUAACUGUAGACUUGCCAUUGAUACUGGCGCUCUUGAGUGCGCUUGAAGUGGGCGGAAUGUGCCGUGUAGCGGUGAAAUGCUUAGAUAUGGCACAGAACACCAAUUGCGAAGGCAGCUCACUAAGGCGAUACUGACGCUGAGGCACGAAAGCGUGGGGAUCGAACAGGAUUAGAAACCCUAGUACC